GUCUUUGUAGCUUGCACAAAGCAUGGCACUGAAGAUGCCAAGAUGGUUGCUGCACAUGCACCCAAAGACA
This 70-nucleotide transfer RNA is filed under the name Sylvia atricapilla (blackcap). RNAcentral describes it as "transfer RNA-Phe". Lineage: Eukaryota; Metazoa; Chordata; Aves; Passeriformes; Sylviidae. The record is from RNAcentral.